Molecule: ribosomal RNA, 461 nt
Filed under: uncultured bacterium
Lineage: Bacteria
Description: partial 16S ribosomal RNA
Rfam family: Bacterial small subunit ribosomal RNA
Source: RNAcentral
CCUACGGGAGGCAGCAGUGAGGAAUAUUGGUCAAUGGGCGCGAGCCUGAACCAGCCAAGUAGCGUGAAGGAUGACUGCCCUGCGGAUUGUAAACUUCUUUUGUAAAGGAAUAAAGUGCGGCACGUGUGCCCUUUUGUAUGUACUUUAUGAAUAAGGAUCGGCUAACUCCGUGCCAGCAGCCGCGGUAAUACGGAGGAUGCGAGCGUUAUCCGGAUUUAUUGGGUUUAAAGGGUGCGUAGGCUGUGCGUUAAGUCAGCGGUGAAAUGCCCCGGCUCAACGGGGUGAAGUGCCAUUGAUACUGGCGGGCUGGAGUGGGGGUGAGGUAGGCGGAAUGCGCGGUGUAGCGGUGAAAUGCUUAGAUAUCACGCAGAACCCCGAUUGCGAAGGCAGCUUACGAAGUCGAGAUUGACGCUGAUGCACGAAAGCGUGGGUAUCAAACAGGAUUAGAUACCCGUGUAGUC